UGGGGAAUAUUGCACAAUGGGCGCAAGCCUGAUGCAGCCAUGCCGCGUGUAUGAAGAAGGCCUUCGGGUUGUAAAGUACUUUCAGUCGGGAGGAAGGUGGUAAGGUUAAUAACCUUAUCAAUUGACGUUACCGACAGAAGAAGCACCGGCUAACUCCGUGCCAGCAGCCGCGGUAAUACGGAGGGUGCAAGCGUUAAUCGGAAUUACUGGGCGUAAAGCGCACGCAGGCGGUUGAUUGAGUCAGAUGUGAAAUCCCCGGGCUUAACCCGGGAAUUGCAUCUGAUACUGGUCAGCUAGAGUCUUGUGGAGGGGGGUAGAAUUCCAUGUGUAGCGGUGAAAUGCGUAGAGAUGUGGAGGAAUACCGGUGGCGAAGGCGGCCCCCUGGACAAAGACUGACGCUCAGGUGCGAAAGCGUGGGGAGCAAACAGG
Molecule: ribosomal RNA, 429 nt
Filed under: Chloroflexota bacterium
Lineage: Bacteria; Bacillati; Chloroflexota
Description: Chloroflexi bacterium partial 16S ribosomal RNA
Rfam family: Bacterial small subunit ribosomal RNA
Source: RNAcentral